GAUGAAGAACGUAGCGAAAUGCGAUAAGUAAUGUGAAUUGCAGAAUUCAGUGAAUCAUCGAAUCUUUGAACGCACAUUGCGCCGGCCAGUAUUCUGGCGGGCAUGCCUGUUCGAGCGUCAUUUCAACCAUCAAGCCCCCGGCUUGUGUUGGGGACCUGCGGCUGCCGCAGGCCCUGAAAACCAGUGGCGGGCUCGCUAGUCACUCCGAGCGUAGUAAUACAUCUCGCUCAGGGCGUGCUGUGGGUUCCGGCCGUUAAAAAGCCUUAUUUACCCAAGGUUGACCUCGGAUCAGGUAGGAAGACCCGCUGAACUUAAGCAUAUCAAUAAGCGGAGGA
This 335-nucleotide unclassified non-coding RNA is filed under the name soil metagenome. RNAcentral's name for it is "partial contains 5.8S ribosomal RNA, internal transcribed spacer 2, and large subunit ribosomal RNA". The stretch from base 1 to 120 matches the Rfam family "5.8S ribosomal RNA", at positions 35 to 154 of the family's 154-position model. The record is from RNAcentral.